AAAGAGAAGGAGGAGCUAAACCUGGAGAUCCAGAAGAACCGCCUCCUGCAGCAGGAAAACCUCCAGCUGAAAACAGAUGUGGACAGACUCUCCGAGAGCCAAUCACAGCAGGCGGAGCAGAGCAAGGGGCUCCAGCAGCGACACAACGAACUCAAGAGCUCUUUAGGCUCCGCCCAGCUGGAAGUGAGUCAGUGGAUGGCGCGAUACGAUUCGCUGAUGGAGCAGCACCAGACGCUGGAUCUCACCAUGACCAAACUAGACAACCACUGUGAGCUCCUGAGUCGCCUCAAAGGGAACCUGGAGGAGGAGAACCACCACCUGCUGAGCCAGAUCAACCUGCUGAGUCAGCAGAACCACGCGCUGCUGGAGAGGAGCAUGGAGAGCAAGGAGCUGUACCACCAGGAGCAGAAGCUCUAC
Non-coding RNA from Neolamprologus brichardi, 417 nucleotides. NCBI's taxonomy places the organism in Eukaryota, Metazoa, Chordata, Actinopteri, Cichliformes, Cichlidae. The record is from RefSeq and is a predicted model, not a curated record.